Molecule: long non-coding RNA, 17957 nt
Organism: Clupea harengus (Atlantic herring)
Lineage: Eukaryota; Metazoa; Chordata; Actinopteri; Clupeiformes; Clupeidae
Source: Ensembl
UUGUGUGUGUGUGUGUGUGUGUGUGUGUGUGUGUGUGUGUGUGUGUGUGUGUGUGUGUGUGUGUGUGUGUGUGUGUGUGUGUGUGUGUGUGUGUGUGUGUGUGUGUGUGUGUGUGUGUGUGUGUGCUUGUAGUAAUAAUCAAAAACAUUUCACUUUGUAAAGCUGUUAUGGUCGGCCUUCUGCCUUGAUUUUUCUAUCCUCGAUUUUUCUAUGUGUCUGUGUAUAAGUUUCUGUGUGUGUGUGUGUGUGUGUGUGUCUGUGUAGAUGUUUCUGUGUGUGUUUUUCUGUGUGUGUGUGUGUGUGUGUGUGUGUUUCUGUGUGUGUGUGUUUUAAGAUCAAAUAGUCUAACAAUUCAUCUCAUGGCAAAUCUUGUGUCAGUAGGAAUAUAUUUCUAAGAAAACUAAGUCCAGCUGUAAUUGUUUUUGCACAAGAAGUCAAUAAUGAGGCAUCUAAGUUUAUCCAUCCAUUUCUCACUUGGAGGUGGUAGGCCUACACUGUGAAUCAUUUGUCAUAUGAGAAAACGCUGCAUAAUGGUUUAUCUAGCAUUUCAAGUUUAUAUCCAUGAAUGUUACUCAUGACAUGGUGGGUUGUAAUAUCUAUAUUUUGCCCUCCCUAAAUUGAAUGUUUUAAUAGUAUCUUAGCGUAGCUAUGUCAGUCAUCGGACAGUGUCAAACAUCGGCCAUUCUGUUAAACAAUCAAAAUGCUAAAUGUAAUAAUGGAUUAACAAUCGAUAUGCUCAGUUUAAUAAUGGGUUAACAUGACAACUCGUUUGCCGAUAACACACGCCGUCCGAUAAUUAACACCGUUACGAUACAUGUCAGACAUAUAUAGACAUAUGACAUCUAUCAGCAGGAGGAUAAAAACCAUGGCAACGAGGGGAUUUAAUUAAAUGCGUUGUCCAUGUAUUGUGUGUUAGAUCUUAUCCUCAUACUUUGCCUAAGCCCCAAAAUAUUGUCAUUGCCAAGGAAAUUACAUGGCUGGGUGAAAGCCUGAUAAGGUAUUAAUUGCACAGUGCAUUAGCCUACCAAACACCAUACACCGACAUAUCUGUCUCCAAGAUUUAAUGAAAGACUGUAGGAAUAAAAGUUCUCAUUAAUACUGUAGGGCUCCACCACCAGGAAUGCUGCACAACCCCUUUAUUUGUCGAGACAGUGCUCAGCGUGAAAUUGAUUUAUGCAAACCACAAAAUCAUAUUUCUGUUCGUUAACUCAGGUACUUGCGGAAAGAGAAGGAAAAGGAUGUUAGUGUGAUUAGGGCAUUAUGGGGAGAAAAAUGCAAGGUGGAAGUGAUGUUCGAGACACCCUGUGGAGCAGUAAGAGGAUCUCAAGGCUGGUUGUACAAGAAAACAUGACAUAAUUCUGAAUUAAAGCAACAUUAUGUAACAAUUUUACCCUAAAAUAACAGUUUCAAGCUCAUUUUGGUUUGACUUGUAAUAUAGAGAAUGGCGUCUGUGCUACCCCAUGCCUGGUGUGCCUGGUAUUGCACUAUGUAACUUUGGUGGACAGGGUGCAACACUUCUUGCAAGAACUACAUAAUGCUUUAUGGCACAAUCUCACACAACAACUGGCCCCUUCUGCUAGCUAUAAGAAGAAGCUAGCACAGUAUUCUCUGUAUGGACAUCAUGGCAGAGGCGAUGAAGAAACCGAGGAAGACAUUGUCAGUGAGAUCAGUGAAGAGAAAAGAGAGAGUAACUGAGCAAGAGAAGGAGAGUUAGUCUUAGACAGGCUUUUACUUGUUGGCGAGAGCUAAAAGAGACAAAAGGAUCCAAGUCAGAUGCUGGCCUGGCCUUUCUGUUAGACUAGUCAGUGACAACUAAUUAGCUGUCUUGCUAUGUCUUGAGUUGUGCCUGCAUGAUAUUUUUCAUCAUAAACGUCCCUGAGAAUGCAAUGUAGGCUGUAACCUUAUCGGUGUCAUUCCUGUCUCACAGAGAUUUGUAAUUUUCUAGAUGCCCAAAGUCAUCAGUCCUGUCAGGCUAGCAUCCAAAUAAAUACGUCUCACACCAAAUAAGCCUGUGAAGUUGGCAACCUUGAAAACUCUCUGCUUGUUUGUAAAUGUAAAUUACACAGCCCAAUGUGUAUUAUGCACAAUAUAUGCCUGUAUCGUGUCGCAAACAACAUUUUAUUAGAUUACACAGAUUACAAUUGAGAAUAUGCCUACAACAAAUUAUCAGUACAGUUCACUUACUUUUCCUGAGUUCCUGAAUAAUAAUAUUAAUAUAAGUGAGGUGCACUGGUGUGCAUAGAGCAUAGUGGUCGAGAAAGCAGAAGAACCUGUAAACAAUUCCAGCAUCCUGUUGCCAUAGGUUACAGAGACAUGAUGCCUUUGUUCUCGAGAUGAAAUUGAGUUAGCCUUGUGAAGACAUAGUGGAGCUCCUGUAUGCUUUUGUACUUUAAUUGAAUUUAAUGAAAUAUUUUUAAUUAUCUUUUUAAUCCUAGCUUUGCAGUGACAUGUCCCAGAAAACACGGCAGGUAAUGAACCCGUUAAGAAAUAAUGAACUAUCCCAUUAAUAGGAGCUAUUCCACAUUCAAAUCCACCUUUUGUCCAUUAUCUCAACCUGAGCACUGAGAUGAUCUUUCUAAAAGCACAUGGGCAUUUUUUGCGCUAUGCGUGGGCAAUUUAGCGGUCUAGUUAGGAUGUCAAAAUUAUAAAGACAUUUCAAUCUAAUAGGAGUGCCUUGGUUUGGAGAGCCUUUCUCUCUCUUUUAUUCAUCAUCAUUUCACUCAUUUGAAAUGUCUAUUGGACUCUAGAUAACCUAGGAAGAAGAGAGAGUAUAAUAUUAUGAUUCAACUCUAAUGAAGGCCAUUUCCAUCCUCUCUCUCUUCUUCCUCACUUGCUCGCUCUCUCCCCCACUCUUCUAGAUCAUCUCUUGCUCACUUUCUCUCGAAAGUUCAGUAGUUUAGAAAAUGUACUCUUUGGUAUUCUCCAGAAUAAGAAAUACUGUCAUGGACACAAUAUGGCUACAGCCCCAGCAUAUUAACACAGAUAUCGAGUGAUGUCUGAAUGCUCUUAAUAAGAUAGGAAAGCAUUGUGUACAAGGCCAGUCACUGCAGGGGGAAGGACCUAUACUGGUCUAUCGCAUUUACACUAAAUACUUCUGGAUAAUAUUUUUGGUAUGUGUCAUAGUUUUCUGAUAACACAGAAUGAAUUGGGCUUUUUUUUUAGCAUUUUGGAUGGCGCUUUUAAAGCGUAUCCAUUUUGGCACAUUAGCACUUAGAUGCCACAUAUUGCAUCAUCUAUAAAGUGUGAUUUAAAAUGAGUGUGACUGUUAUCAUUUCUAUACACUCACCUAGUGUGUUUAGUGGUGACUUACCAUUCCUUUUUAAAUGGCAGCAUAUCUCCAUAACAAUCACAAGGCUACAUACACAGUUAUGUUUAUGUAGUCACAUUUAACAUGAGCCUAAUUUGGACUUGCAAGAGAGGAAAAGAAAGUUUCUUGCUCUUCAUUCAGCAGCUCGUCCCUCAUAAAUCUCCUGAUAAUUUAAAUCCAACAAUGGCCCACACAUACUUUCUCUGGACGCCCUUGAAAAUGUCACACAGAAUCCCAGAUGGACUGUUAUAUUUAAUCAGUAUGUUGCAAAAAAACUAUGCCGCAACACUCUAAAAAUAGAUGCAAGUGUCCGGAGUCAGAGAGACAGAUGCUGGAUAGAUUCCACAUAGAUUGCUUCCACACUCAUGUGUGCCAGAUAGGAAGGCAUGCCCUUCUUUGUGUGUUUGACUGUGUGGGAUGACAUGCUUGGCAAGGCCAGCAUUAAGCCGCCAUUUGCCAUGUGAGGUGAACAGUCAGAAGGUCUGACCCCUGGGUCUGUUUAAAGGGUCAAGUCUAGUCAAGUGUGGGUGUGAGACCGAGAAGGGAAGCCCACCUACCUACCUCACAUGCAUCUAGCGUCUUUGACUCCAGAAAACAAAGGCAGGAUGUUCCACACUCAGCAGGUCUUCAUUAACUGAAAAAAAUAUCACUUACAGUUUGGCAUCCGGUGACUAAAACACAACGAUUCUGUGUGUGACACUGUAGUUUACCCUUUCAGAUGUGAAAACAUAGAAUUGAAAAAAAAAAAUGCAUUUUGGAAAAUGUGGCCUGUAGACUGUGCAUGGACCAUAGACUGGCUUUAUUGUCAUUUCAACCAUAUAUGCAGCUAAUGCACUAUACAGUGAAAUGAAACACCGUUCCUCCAGGACCACAGUGCCACAUAGAACAACACAGAUCAGACAGGUCUACAUAAAGCACACGUGCGCAAACACAGACCAGACUGGACUACAUAAACUACACGUGUGCCAACAUGUACAGCACAAGACAGUACACAGUGUACAAAAACAGUACAGUAGGCACAGAAACAUCAAUCAAGGUAUGGAGUGCGACAACUGGUCCAAAAUACACACAUGCACAGUGUAGAGAGUGAUGGUAAUUAGUUUUAUACCAUAUAUUGAAGAUUCAGUCUUAGGUUUGAUCAGUCAGGAUUCAGGUUUAUUCUUGAAGAAUGGCGGCCGACCAUUUGUGAGACAGAAACUUUCAGAUCCAUCCUCCCUCACAGAACUUCACCUCAGUAUAUCUGACUUAUUCCUUGGGGAACAGUCUGUUAAAUACACUGACAUUAAGGGGUGUUACCGUCUAUUCAAAUGGGCCAUGCAUGCAGGGUUCUUUGUCUCGACCUGGGGGGGAGGUGAGACCAAUGUCGCACCUCACUCCCCUGGUCAAAAUCAAGUAUAUUCACCCUGGAACUGUUUACAUGCUAGUUAAGUCCAAAUAAAAGUAACAAUUAGAACUAGGUAUAAUAUCAUUGACUUAUUGACUAUGGCAUAUUCUUAUGACCUAUGCUGGUCCCUUCAAGAGGAUCACAACAAAUAAAUGCCCUCAUCAUGCUUAAAAAGAAAUGUUGUAGCCUGCUUCAAAACUUUAUAAUUUCCAACUGCGUAGAGCUCAUUACCUCUGCAGCAUUGACACUCACAACUAACAGACAGCCCUCUGCGACUUCAAUUAUCCCUUAUCUGUUGGCUGGAUCUCUGUCUCCGUUGUUGGAGCGGCUGAAGCUGUGCUUAAGCCUCUGCGACCUAUAUUUAAUUAGAGGCUCCCCUGUACAGUGACAGCCAGUUGUAAUGAUUUAUUGGGAUGUUUAAUAGGACUGUAAGGGGUUGGUUCAGCCUCCAUAUAAUCGCUAAGGGUAGCUGGAUGUUACAGUGUGGAUUCAUUUUUAUGAUAUAAUGACAUAUUUAUGACAAUGUUGUUUGUGUUAUUCAAUUGUGUUCUUUGGCUUGUUUUGACUUUUAGCAGCAGUCAAUAAUCCUGUCAAACAUAUCCUGUCAAUGUGUGUGCAAUACAGAGCGGUAGUUUCAGUGUGACAGUAUUAGAAACAAAAGCUAGUUCUGCCACAGCCUGUGCUAUUUGUUGUUGCUGUUGUGUGUUUGGUUAUUUAGAUCCUGGCUCAAGCUCAAAUUGUUUACCCUCAGUAACCCUGAAAAGACAUGAAGAGGCGGUCUGAUCCCAGAGCAGUCCGAGAGAGAACAAGGUCUCUCUACACCUCAGAGAUUUACUUUGCUGCUCCCUUCUGCCAGGUCAAGCAAAGCAAAGUACGGCAGAACGGAAUGUUUCUUUUGGCUGUCAGUCUGGUUGGUUUGGCUGACUUUAUUUGUGACUCGAUAACAAACCUUUAAGCUUUUAGCAUCCUGUCAGAAGUCAUAAGGACCACCCAAUGCUGAAUAUGGUUUAUCUGGAUAACUGGAUAUAUUUUACUGUAUUUACUUUCACAUUUUUCCCAUUUCAUUAUAUGCUGCAUUGCUUUGGCAGUCUAUUUUUUUUUUUAUCUUGAAAAGGGCUUAAAACAUGGGACAGGCCUGGUGUUUAAUGUCUGUCAGCACUAUGGAAUAUGACUCUCCUGGUAACUAAUUACGUAAGCAGCAUUACUAUUUUCGUCAGUGACAAAUUUGCAAUGCAUGGCUUUCGUGCGUGGCUCUCUAUGCCCUUCCCUGUCAAGCUGAUAAGUCCUUUUAUGACCCAAGGACGGACGAAUAAAGUAAAAAAAAAAAAACUCAUCCCAUCCUGCUCUGAUUCAGCCAGCCUUUAAUAUGCAACACCAUGUAGAUGCAUGUCCCUUGUGUCUUCACUGUCUUCGGAGACCAGUCCUCAGUCAGACAACAUGGGAGUUAUAAAUCUCUUUCAACAGUCAUGGGAAGAUUUUCCGUGCUGCCAUUUAUAGAUUACUUUAAUGGGCCUCAAUUCUAAUCUGCCAGUGUAAAGAGUGGAGCAGAGGGCAUAAUGACUUCAGACACCCUAACUCGCUUCGCACAUUUGGUGAAUCUUAACUACGGGACGGAGCAGCAGAGAGGAGACAAACAGGGUGGUGAGAGAAAAAAAUCAAUCAUUUAAACAUAGUUUAAUCUAACUGAGUUUCAUCAAAUCCACGUUCCUACCGUUGAGUGUGCAGGUCUUUUUCUUUAGUGAUUUAGUGUUGGAUGGAUCCCUUGAUAGUAUUUUGUCUGCAAUGCUGAUUGUCUGCUUCUCUUGAAUUGUAGGAGGAGGCAAUCAGCACUCUCUUCCUAAUGCCAGUGUCUCAUGCUGAAGCUCAGAUGUAAAAUGACAUCUUGUAACACCCACUUUCAUCUCUUCCAAAUAGUCUUGCAGUGCCUAAACUCUAAUAGAUAGUUGACUUGAUAGCCUUCACUUCAGGACUGUGUCCUCUUGAUUCAUUUCAAUUAAUUCAAAGGGAUGUUUACAGGACAUUAUAGUGAUAUAAUAACUAAUCCAUCAGAGAGAAGACAUAAGCUUUCUAACUCUUUGAAAUUGCAACUCAAGUGUUUCAUAGGAUUACCUAAAGCAAUUAAGGCUUCCCAGACAUGACACCUCUUACAGUCCUCUGUCAUACAGUGAUCCCAGUCUGGUCUUUAAGGGCAGAUAUUCAUUCUAUUAUGCUAUUAGGCCCUGUCAUGCUUCAGUGGACACACAUUCCCUUAUCUUAGAAGACCAGUUGACCGCUUGAACACAUAGCAAAAAGUAAUUUCAGAAUAAACGUGUGCUAAAAGCUGAGCAUUUCACUACACUAGCAUUAAACCAUGCACAACUAACGCAUAUCUCAGAGUCUUUCAUUUGAAAACAAACACCCUUAUUUUCUCUUCAGUCUGUUGGUAUGUACUAUGCAGUAGCCAACUUCCUAAUUAUCCCUCAGACCAUGUCCAAAUCUGCUUGAUAUACUCCCUUUGAAAAUACUUCAAGAUGACUAUUUCUGCACUAUUCAUAGUGGUGUGUGCAUGUGUGCUCAAACAGUAUGUACUCUCCUGUGUAUGGGUACACUCAGGCACCUAGAUUCCUCCCUCCAGUUGUUUGCAGCUCGUUGCGUGGGAGGUGGUAUGGCAGUGGAUCAAAACGGCCAUCUUAUGAAGGCAUUACUCUUGAUACCACUUGACAUCUUCUCUCCAUAAAUCAUGAGCCUAUCACCAUUAUGUUUCCAGAGGGUGGGACGCAUGCCCACGUUGCCUUGAAUAAUGUAAAAAUCUGGAAGUUAAUUCGAUUAGGGAUUUAAAUAGCGGAGCAUCUGUCAUGAUUAUGUGUAUCGGAGGGCAGGGUUUUUUGUGCAGAGUAAAAUCAUCACGGACGAUCCUUUGGGGUGUCACAGACAAACUGAAGUUGAAAUGUUAAUAUUGAGGUCUUCGAGGUGCACGGAGGCCCUACUUAUUUGCAUACUUUAAAUAAUUGCUGACAAUUUUGUUCUUUCUUGUAAGGGAUAACAGCUUCCAAAGUGUCCCAGUAUACACACUUAUUUGUAGUGCUAUGCCACAGGUUUAUAUAAAUCAACUCUUAUUAUUAAGGUGUUUUAAUUUGCUAUUUUUUAAAUUGAAAUAUAUCUAUUUUUAGUUGUUUUAUUUGUUCUCUGUCAUGUUGGCUGUGUUUUGCCUCCUGGAGACAUUGCAAUAAUGUAACGUUAAACAGAGGUUUCUUUGCAAUAUUACACAGAGGUUUCUUUGCAAUAAUGUAACGUUAAACAGAGGUUUCUUUGCAAUAAUUUAAUGUUACACAGAGGUUUCUUUGUGACACUGUCACGUUCCCCAGAGGUUUCUUUGUGACAAUGUCACGUUACCCAGAGGUUUCUUUGUGACACUGUCACGUUACCCAGAGGUUUCUUUGCUGAAUUUUUCUAUCUGCCUUGCAGCUGGGAUUAGCUCCAAGGUCUUUCACAUCACUUAACUGUUUCAACGUCCUUUCCUCACAUUUCAAGUUCUCUACUGUUAGAUAAGAGAUAAAAUCGAAUUAAAAUGUCCUGGUAACAAACAAGACAACAGGGCAAUGUCAGAAUUCCUGUACCAGCACAACAACUGUGUGAAUGUGUAUGUGUCUCUAUCACAUUUAUAUUGCACCACUCAAGCAAGACUCAGAGAUGCUAUGAACUUGUGAAUAUUUAACACUCUGACUAAUGUGUGUAUCAGAGACACUGCAUCACAGCUAAUGGUAUUAUCCUUCCUUGCCUGCGGGGAACAUAUUUUAGUGUAGAUGAAAGAUGCACAUCUCUGGCUGAAGCUGCAUCUGUAAGGGGCCCCAUAAUGAUGAGACAGUUCCACUCUGCCACGUCUGCCACAGCAGUCAUACUUGAAAUGCCAGGUAGGUCUGUAAAUUGCCGAUUGACUCUUCAUUGAUCUAUCAAGGUCAAACAAACAAACAAACAAACAAAUAAAUAAACAGAUAGAUAGAUAGAUAGAUAGACAGACAGACAGACAGACAGACAGACAGACAGACAGACAGAAAGACAGAAAGACAGAAAGACAGACAGACAGAUAGAUAGACAGAUACAUAGAUAGAUAGACAGGCAGACAGAUAGAUACAUAAAUAGACAGACAGACAGACAGACAGACAGAUAUAUAUAUAGAUAGAUAGAUAGAUAGAUAGAUAGAUAGAUAGAUAGAUCAGUGAUUGCUAAAUGUCAGAGUGAGAGUGAAGUAAUGGCGGUUCCCUGUAGCCAUUCUGUUGGAAAUGAGAAUGCCCCAGACAACCAGAAGCUCACCUCUGCGACCCUUGAGAAUGGUCCAUAAUUCACCCCGGUGAUCCCAGCCAUACCUUCGCCAUUUACUGCCCAUUAAGCUGUCCAUCUAAUGCAUACGUUUAACCCCCACACUGACCUUUUUACCGUUGUUUGCAGAUGUGACAUUUGGCCAUUAUGGCAUCCACAGGGACUGCAAGGACUGUAGGGACUUCACUGCUUUUAACUGGGUCUAAUUUUAAAUCUAUGGGUGAUCAUGAUGAUCACUGGUGUUGGUCCUACAUUAUGGAAUAGUCUCCCAUUAGAUAUUAGAUCUGCUGUCUGUAUCAAGAUUGUUAAAGCUGGACUAAAAACCUGCUUUUACACACAUUCCCGGAUUUUAAGUUAACUUAUCUAUUCUAAUCUAUCUAGUCUAUUCUCCAUUUUAUCUAAUUCUAACGUGUUUUUUCUUCUGUUUUAUUGUUUUUUACCUCUUUUACUCAUCACUUUUCAAAUUCCGUUCUUUUGUUACAAUAGUUUUUUUUCUUAUUUUGUUUUUUUAUUUGUACAGUUAUUUCCUGUUAUUUCUUUAAAUUCUUGGCUACAUUUGUUAUCAAUCUAUUUGCUUUGGCUAUAAAUCACUUUGGUCCAAUUCCUGUUGACUUGAUUUGACUUGCAGAGAUUGGAUAUUCUCACUCCGCUAAUGAGUGGCAGGGAAGGUGACUACAGUCAGGGGUUACAAUUGCCCUGUCAGUCUAUGAGAGGACACCUGGUAAUAAGACCUCCAUGCAUUUAAUGGGAAGGAUGUUUUGCUGAGAAUAACAUACAUGUUGUUUUCUUGUGUCUCUGUUGUGUGUAAUACCAGCUAUUUUUCUGUGUGUGUUAUUUAUCUAUUCUUGUUUGAGGACCAAAACAAAAACACAGGUAGUCAUGCAAAGUUUCUGAUUGCACUCUUUUUUUUUAGGGAAUUAGAAGCCUGAGUUUCCCUGUGAUCUUGUGGUGAUACCUGUGCCAAGUAUGGUGCCAAUUGAAAUUCAAAUAGAAGAUGUUACUACGAUUAUAACAAUACAACGUUUCUGUUGCUUAUCAAGGUCUGCAUUUCAAAGGUGCUAUACGUAAUAAUUUUAAGUUAAGUUUAGUUUAAAACAUUACAAAAAUUACUACAAAUGGCAACAUAAUGUGAAAGAAUAACCGUUUUGUCAUGUCAAAAAUGCCUAUGAAUUGUUUUGCCCAGAUAGCUGCUAAAGUUAGCAUUCUAACCUGCUAGGGCCAGGUUUCCCAAUAAUGAUAAUUCUUAGUGGUUACAAGUGUUCUUUACAGGCGAUUCUACAAACAUUUGUUACGUUUUUACACGCAUUUCCCAAACAAGCACGUAACACGAAAGUGCAUGCCCUGCUCUUAAGUAGCACUUAACGGACGCUGUCCAUGUAAACAGUGCCAAAACAUCACCUAAUCUGGUGAUAUCUGGUGAUGUUAAAGUUGUCUUUUCAACUGCAUAGAAUCUACAUGCUAACUGACUUAAAAGCAGAUAAACUUUAACUAUCUGUAUAACUAACGUCAGAAUAAACAUUCUCUGAGUAUGCAUAUGUGCACACAUACACACACCACAAAUAAUGCUCAUGAUUAAAACAAUUUUUAACGUUACACUGGGCCUCAUUUAUAAAACGUACUUACGCACAGAUUUGAUCUGAGAGUGUUCGUGCGAUCAAAUCCACGUCUAAGUACAGAUUUAUAAAAACCGUCUUAGACGUAGAAAAGGACGUAUCUCUACGUCUGGUUCUAGUUCGUGUAAGUACAUUUCCUUGUGGCAAUACUGGAGUACUGCAGGAAUUCGGAACUCUCCGAGCGCCGACACGCAGUUUCAUCAUCAUCAUCGUCACCACCACCGUCACCAUAGGGCUAAUGGUAAAAGGCCAAAUGAAUGUUUCGCUCAAUAAAAUCAAUUAAACAAUUUGAAUAAUUCAUACAUGAAUGAAAUUCACGUCUAAUAGGUAUUCAUUUUAAUUCCACACGUGUAAAACAUUUCGCUCAAUUUAUAGCCUAUAAAAAGCCUGAUAGUGACAGUUUUCAGUAGGAGAUAUGGCUGCUUUGGCGUUGUUAGAGGAUAUUACCCCUCUGUGUCCGAAAUGUAUUACAUGUCCAUACAGUGCCCAGGAACAGCGAAAUGUGAAAGAGGAUUUUCUGCGUAAAACAGGGUUCCCAAUGGCUUCUCACCCCGAUUGCGCACACUCAGACAGCCUAGGAAGCCCACUUCAAUACAGCACAUGCCCGUGUGCGGUCUGUAGUGGAGCGCAGCAUAGGCAUGCUGAAGGGAAGGUGGCGAUGUUUGGAUGCAUCGGGAGGGAGACUGCUAUAUGCCCCCGAAAAGGUUUGCCAGAUCAUCCUAGCCUGUUGUGUGCUACACAACAUCUGUCUAAGCCAUGGCAUAGAGGAGAAGACGAAAUGCGCAUGGACCAAGAUGACCACCCUCCCAUCCCAGCUGACUGGAACACGCACAUCACUGCGCUGAGAAGACGGGAGCUGAUUCACUAACUAUACCAACAGUAUAAGAAUAAAUGCACACAUGUUCAUUUUCUUAAGAAUGUUUUAUUUAGGCACGUUUGUUCAAAGAACCCUCAAUAGCGGACAGAGUUCAGCAACAACCUCGCUAACAGACUCAUUCAAGUCCCUUUGUGAAUGAGAAGAGGAAGCUGGUGAUGGCCAACGAGGCCCCGAUGCUGGUGCAGCAGGUGCUGCUGCCGCAGAUGCGGCUUCUGGUGCUGCUCGUUCCGCAGGUGCGGCCGCUGGUGCUUCGGAGACGUGUCUUCUACCAUGCCACAUACUUUGCUUUUGCCAUUAGCCUACGCCACCUGACAGGCUUUCGAACAAUGUUUUGGCCCGCAUCUGCUCUUCCAUCAGCAGAACGUCGAUUUAAACCUCACUAUAAUUCUUCUUUUUACAUGUUUCUUUCUUGCUUGCCAUUGUCACAGAGAGUUUGUGCAUUGAGGAUGCGCUCCGUUUGUGCAUUGAUAAUAUCCUAAUUAGAUUAAGUAGGGGCGUUUUGAGAGCGGAGAUUCAGCUGCGCACAAUUCCACGAUCAUUUGUGAUUUAUAAAUGCAGGAAUGGCGUACACGUGUUUUUUGGGCGUACGUUCGUUUUCUGUGAAUAACACUUACGACCAUUUCAGAAAACGUCUGAGAUCAAAUGUAGGAUGGUUUCUACGCAACAUUUUAUAAAUGAGGCCCGAUGUGUGAGAAGGUGAAAUCCCUCCCCCUUCUCACUGUGGCCCUAAGGGGGAGAAGGACUGGACUCCCCUACCUGAAUGGUUGGGUCCGGGUUCCCCCUCCUCUGUAGUGUCCUCUGUGGAGUCCAAUUGACUCCAAUUGGACCAAUUUAGCCCUCGGGCGGCCUUAUUUAAGGUGCACCUCAUUGUUGCAUGAGGGGAAGACAGACUGAACAUGCUGGAAGAAAGCUGGGACAAGUACAUAGAUUAAACCUGUGUGAUCUGUGACCACAGAGUUGCACCUUGUUUGUUUUUGGCCUUUAGUGUUGUUCAGUUUGUAUAUGUUUUGGGGUUUCGAAUUAUCCUGUUGUAAAUAAAUAGCUAUUUUUUAAGAAAGCCACCUGCAACCCCAUUCCAACCAGCCUACAUCCCACAUUGUGGGGUGGUCGACUCGAGCCAUCUUCACACACUGUAUUCAGAUUUGUUUAUUGAAUGAUGUGUCAACAUGUUAGGCCUACUCAAGACAUCCAACAUAAACCUGCUCUUUGCCACUUGCAGGUGUCCCAUAGUGUGUGGCAUGCUGCCCGAGGAAGAGCACUUUUGGGUAUCCUUGAAGAAAGAAUUUAAGGAUGAGGACGAGGAAGAUAUACAUAACAAAUAAAGGCCUAAGGCUGAUUUUGACACAGAACAUGUACAUUAUGUUACUCAACAAACUUUUUUUUAAAUGUAAUAGUUUCUAAUUCGUAUUCAUUGUUAUGUUCUUUUUUUCUGUCUGAUGGAACUUGGUUUCCCCUAGUCUCUUCCACUUUCUGCACCAACUUCUGAGCUAGGCUUAGGCCCUACUGAAUAUAGUCUACAAUAUGCCCCCAGCAGAAAAAAGACCAAAGGAAGGGAACAUACCGAACGUUCCCGGGACAAUUCUGGCAUUCAUGAAAGUUUUCUCAUCUGUGAUUUGUUUGCUUUGAACAGAAUUUAAGAACGCUAAAUAACAGUCGUAAAUCGGCCAGUUUGGAGUGCGCCCAUGUUGUUAACGGCUGAAUUUGUGAGAAAUCAUUGGUGAUUGCGUUCACAUCAAGUUCUACAGACAUCCUCAGAUUUAAAUGAUUAUAAUAAUAAUAAAUAAGAGAAUAUUUGUAUCAUAAACAAUUACGUUUCACAUUUAUAGUCAUGUUUCUAGGAGGCAUCGUGAUGUCUUAACAAAAAUAAAAGCACUACACGAACACUGCAAAUGGCAUUGAAAAAAUAAAUACCGUAAAUCCUCAAAUUGUGGCCGGGGCUUUUAUUUACUUAGGCUGCACAGCGCACUGGCCUGUAUUUAGGGCAGGCUUGUAUUAGGGGCAGGCCUUUAUUUCUUACUUAUUAUACGGCUCUUCAGAAUGUUCCCCAACAUUAGCAGGUCUGUAAUUUCUUGAUAUUCACCACUGCGAAAAGUUAAUGACCGCUAUCAUUGGCAACAGGUUUUGUGCUUCUAAUUCACAUCUUUCAUAUCAUUCCACAAGAAGUCCGGUCAUUUAACGUAGCGGAAAGUCAUUGUAACUUGAAGUCAGCAAGUAAUGGGUUGCUACGCAACACCUGGAACGUUAAAGUUCUAUUAGCCUGAAGACAUUUUUUUUCUUAGCGGAAAUCACGAAACGGCAACAAAAUCAUGGAGGAAUGUCUUCUAUCGUUUAGGCAAGUAACUGUAUAAAAACAAAUUCGCCUUGUAGGCUGAAACAUUUCUUUUUUUAUUGCAAACAGCCAUGAAAUUAUCCAACAACAUUAAACAUGAGGAGAACAUGUAUUUAUGAAAUGCAUUCAAUUAAAUUGUGAUAUCUGCUUUGUGCUGAUGGACUGAUGCUGGUAGGCUACAGUAAAAUAGGCUACCGGUACCUUUUUUUACCCCCGGCUUGUAUUCGGGGCCCUGUCUUUAUUUGUCCGUAUCGACCACGCCCCCGGCUUCUAUCUGAAGCCCGGCCUCUAAUUGAAUCCCGGUCUUUAUUUGAGGAUUUACGGUAAGCACUAAACUCAAUCGCGUGGAUAUAGCCAUGGUGGAAUAGAAUGGACACAUCUACAUUCUGCAACAGUACCUCCACCUCUGCACCGGUGAAGUAAGGAUACAUGUUGAAAGUUGCUCCUGUAAAGUUCCAGCAAAACCCACGCUGACCGUGUGAACUUUGGACAUUAUUUGUCUGUGAGUAGAUAUUUUGUGUUGGGACAUUAAUGCCGUUUAGAGAAUUUGUGUUUGUAAAUGUUAUAAGAGAAUUCAGUAUUUAGCAGCCAAGUUAUGCUAGCUCUUGUGGUAUCGUGCUACCUUUAUGCCACAUCAUUUGACGUGAAAUGUAUGUAUCUCUUUAUUUCUGUCUGUUCCAGACAGUUUUACUAAAUCAAACGUCCUGUAUGAAUAAUUGCAUGCUGAUAACUUCAGUAAACUCAAAAAAAACAAGACUUGUGGAUUCACUUGAAAUUCAUCUUUAUUCUGCAAAGACAAGUGUUAGCUAGCUGUCAGUCCUGCAAGGUAGCAAACGCAGUACGAAGACAGCAUAGAGAGACAGAGGGAGAUAGGGCCAGACAGCAAUUUUUUCAUGUCCCCCCCAAGAUUUACUCUCUGAAAUGUUACCAUGUAUUGUCCCCCCCUACAAAGAAAUGGGAUCUCCGCCCCUGCCCACACCGUCAGGAAUGAUGUUUUUAAUAGCCAAAAUCCCAUCUCAGAGGCUAGAAUAAUGACGUGAAGUGUUUGUUAAUUAAUGGAGAAAUGGAAUCCUUGAACUGCAGAGCCCCCAUCCAUUUUUAAAGUGCUGGCUUGAAUUUACGAAUGGAUCCAAGUUCAUUACUAUCCUGUAGUUAGUAUCAACAAGUAGCUCAAUAGCAAGCCCAUCAGACAAACAUGGAUGGUUAGACUAGUCUAGAUCAGCUAGCUCAAAAGCUCUAAUUCUUAAAUGAAGACCUACAGGGGUCUGCUUGCCUCGACUAAGUCGAUGGAUUGAUGUUGAUGGACACACUAAUGGCCACACCACCUUGGUCAAACAUUUUUCACUUCUGUGAAGAGAGAGGAGGUAGGGGUGUACACACGUAGUAACACACCGUCCCCAAUCUGUUUCAGACGGGGAAUGUGAAAUCAUUUAGCUCACUAGCUGAGUCACACCACCUUGGUCAAACAUUUUUCACACCGUCCCCAAUCUGUUUCAGACGGGGAAUGUGAAAUCAUUUAGCUCACUAGCUGAGUCACACCACCUUGGUCAAACAUUUUUCACACCGUCCCCAAUCUGUUUCAGACGGGGAAUGUGAAAUCAUUUAGCUCACUAACUGAGUGCAGAACAUAAAGGUCAGGUCUGACGUCUUAGUCACGGGCCUCAGCAGUAAUGGACCUCUAAAGAGAGCCCAUCUUCAGUGAUGACAUCAUUAGAUCAUUUAACAAGGAUGUUGCUUUCUCCGGUUGAGGUAGAAAUCAUGCUGGAAUGCUCAUCACAUCCAGUUCUAAUGUGUUUCUCCCUCAAAGGAGACGGUGUUUGACCCGUUCAUUUCUUACGAUUACUUGUGUCAUCGUGUGCAGGAAGUGGAAGAGUGAGGUACUCAGAUGCCUGCAGCACACGGUUUGGCAAAACCACAGUUGUGUGCUGGCAAGUGGAGUUCUCUGAUGAUCCAGCUCUUUGCUUUUAAUGAGCACCAAAGAUCAAACAGUGGUGUGUUUGGUUUGAUUGGGUUGACCCAGAUGAAAUAACUUGCAUGCCUCUGAAGCCAACUGAGCAUGUAGCGUAAGAGAGGGACAUAAGUGAAAUGUGAUUUUGUUUGCUUGACAUAUAAAAAGGGUUAUGUUAGUUUACUUACCACAAUUCCGGCUGUACAUAUAUCCAGGACAGGUAGAUUUUUUUCGAUAACAAUGCUAUGAGGAUAAAAUGACAAUGAAAUAGACGUACAUUUUAUUUGGUGAUUUCAAGAUAGUAAGUUGUUAUUUCUAGAUAGUAUCUCAAGUAAGUCGAUAUAUUAUCUUGUUUUCAAGAUUUUAAGUUUAAGUUUAAUAGUAUUUCAAAAGUCAUUAUUUCAAGAUAGUAUCUUGUUAUUUCAAGAUAUUAUUAUCUUACUACUCGGUAAGACGUUGUAAGAUGCAGUAGCUUAUCAGGUUAAAUGGGCCCAUAUCUCUCAAAGUAAAAGAUUAAAGUAAAGCACAUAUUUUAACAUUGUGAGAAAAAAUGAAUGCCUUAAAAAAUAAAUAUUAAACCCUUGAAGUGACCUUGAUCAAUAAAUAGCCUUUCAUGAUAUCCUCUGGAUGAAGAAGCCUAUUUAAUGUUUUUUAUUUUUAUUUGAGGUAUCAUUGCAAUGACCUGGUCUAAAUUAGUGAUUUCUAGUGUCAUGCAAGUAGUCAAUAAAAUGUUAAAGUGGACAUUACACACUAAAUGUAGUUAGCAUUAUUUACAAGAUGGGUUCCCACUGUAAAAAUCCUAAUAGGUUUAACACUGUCAGUGAAACUGGAUUAAAAAUAAUAACUAAUAAGUAAUUGAAGUUACAAUUUGCAAACAAGUCUAGCACCAUCUUUGAAACUCUGACUUAGUAAAUAUUAUCUUGAAAUAAGAACUUAUUAUUUUGAAAUAAUGAGAUACUAUCUUGAAAUAAUGACAUGACAAUAUGUUUAAACAAUGAGAUAUUAUCUUGGAAUUAUGACAACAUAUUGUAAAAACGAGACACCACCGUGAAAUAAUGAUUUAAUAUCUUGAAAUAACAAGAUACUAUCUAGAAAUAAUGACUUAAUAUCUUGAUAUCCUGAAAAGGAUCUAUUAGUUAUUUAGGUUUUCAAUUUUCUUCACAUAAAUACACAUGUACUGUAUAUUGACAGUAAUGGUAACAUGACAUCUGCCACAGCAUGUUUUUAUGUAGUAACAUCAAUCUGAUAAUGUAGGCUACCAAUUCAUUUCACUGUAUGCAAUUCACAGUAGCAGUAAAUUAUCUUUUUCAUGUGUCUUUGUUGAGGUCUUACUGCAAGACCUUGCUCAGGGAGAGACAUUAUUGGCAAGCUUCAGCCCUACUUCUUGGAAUGACUGUAGCAAAAAGAAGGGCAGUGGUGUUUGUCAAGGGGCUGUUUGCUCAAUAUGCCUGAAAUCACUGGGCAGCCAGGGAGCAUGUAAUCUUUCAACUCCCACCCCCACCCUGAAACCCCCGUCCGCUUUAUACGACUGGAUGUCUAGCGAGACAUUUUGAUUGCAACACUGUGCUCAAGUUGCCCCAAAUCAAAUGCAGUACAGACAUGUUCACGAUGGCCGCCGCCUGUUGUGCAGAAUACCAAUGACCAUCUUCCAUUAGGAGGCAGAUUAACAGAGAAUGUCAAUUGAAAAAAACCCUCCAGUCUCUCCUUUUCAAACCUCCAUUAGUUGAUUAAUUUUUACCAUUUACAGAAGCCAUCUUGUUCCAAACAUGUUUUAAUACUUAGCUGUCAAUCAUCCAAACAAUGUACAUCUGUCAAUGUCAGUUAAAGAAAUUUGCACUGAGGGAAGCACUUUGUCUCUCCUCUGGGCUCUCUUCCCUGCAGACAUCAAUAUAAAUCUACGUCCUCCACAGACUGACAACCUCCCAUUACGAGCAUGCAUGGGGAAAAAGACAAAUUGCGGCUCUCUCACCCUGAGGUUGGCGAGAGUUCAUCCAGACUGGGCCACGGAGGAGGCCGAGUGCUUUUGUUGGCCUGUCACAACUCCGCAUGUCAGCUGGGCACGUCAGUGGGUGUUAAACACGGCCCCGCAUCGGGGGCCCUGCGUUUAACUCGGCACGGGCGCGGAAUCGAAUGCUCGCUCAAGUGCAUCCCUUUGAAUCCAAUCUGUAGUGUCCUCCUGGGCUGGAAUGUUCAUGAGUGUGUG